Molecule: long non-coding RNA, 2864 nt
Organism: Carassius gibelio (silver crucian carp)
Lineage: Eukaryota; Metazoa; Chordata; Actinopteri; Cypriniformes; Cyprinidae
Exons: 3
Source: RefSeq, a predicted model, not a curated record
CAUCACACCAAGUGCAUUAAUGAGCAAUAACAGCAAUUUUAGGAUGAUUGUAAUUGAAAUGGCUAAAAAAAUCAUAAAUACAACCUCUAGUAGCAUGAUUUACUGGCUUAUCAAAAUUGACCAAUAGGUGGUGCUGUUAUCAAGUCAAUUUGGUGUACUCUGUGUGACUUUUCAAUGACACAAACAAAGUUUGGUGUCAAUAUGCCAAAGCAUUGCAGAGAUACAGCCUCAAGUGUCAUUUUGUCAUUGUGCCUCAAGUUCGUCGCUGUGGUAUGCAAAAACGGUUUUGUCUAUCGACACAAAAUUCAUAACUUUUUGUCAGCACAGUCUGAAGAUCAUCUGAUUACAUUUUGGUGAAAAUUGGACUAACGGCUGAUGAGGAGUUCAAAAAGUAGGUUUUCAACAUAAAUCAAAAUGGCGGACCGGAAGUUCAGCUUAAUCUGGCAUAUUUGGUAUCUAUGUUUUCGGCAUAAACCAGGGAAUAUUUUGAGACCAGUUUCGUUGCAAUAGGCUAAUGCAUUAAAAAGUUAUUAGCAUUUUUAUAAGUGUAAUUAUUCAUGGGUAAUGAAUGGUUUAUUACUCUUGACCAAUAGGUGGCGCUGUUACCAAAUUUAUGUGGCAUGGUCAGUGUGAGGUGGCGAUGACACAUACAAAGUUUGGUGCAAAUAUGUCAAAGUGUUGCAGAGAUACAGCCUCAAAUGCAUUUUGGCACCCUUCCAGCAAAUUCGUUGAUGCACUAAAUGAGAACCGUUACGCAUAUCGACACAAAAUCCAUAACUUUUUGCCAGCAUGGUCUGAAGAUGAUUCACGUCAAAUUUGGUGAAAAUUGGGCUAACGGUCUAGGAGGAGUUCGAAAAAGUAGGUUUUCAACAUUAAGCAAAAUGGCGGACAGGAAGUAAGGCCAAUUUUCACAUUAUUGGUAUCAAUACUCUCGGCAUGACCCACAGAAUAUAGCAAGACCAUUUUAAUUUUAAUAGACUAAUUUAUUCAAAAGUUAUUAGCGUUUAUGUGAUAUUUCAUUAUAACUAUUGGCCACAAGGUGGCGCUGCCACCAAACUUUUUGAGUACCUUCAGGGCAUGGAGCCGAAUAUUUUUGUAAUUAUUUGCGAAACGAUACGAUGCUGCGUUCAAAAAAUACAGCAUUUUGAAACAUAAUUCAAAAUGGCCGACGCCUAAAAUGGCCGACACAGGAAAAUUGGAUAUCAUUCGACUCGACAUGACUCACUGAAUCUAAAGAGACCAGUUGUGUGAUUUUUGGCCAAACCAUUCAGUAGUUAUAAGCCAAAAUAUGCAUUUUUCAUAUCUCCUGACCACUAGGUGGCGCUGUGUCGAAACACAGCAGGUAGUCUCAGUUCAUGCUUGUUAUAACACACGCCAAGUUUGGUCUCAAUAUGACAAAUCGUUGCCGGGAUAUAGCCUCACGUGCAUGUUUGCGUGCUUUUCGUCAAAUUUGUUUACGUGUCAUUCGACAACAGUUGGACGAAUCAACUUGAAUUCCAUAACUUUUUGCCAGCAUGGUCUGAAGAUGAUCUGAGCCAAUUUUCGUGGCAAUCGGACUAACCGUCUAGGACGAGUUCGAAAAAGUAGGCUUUUCGAAUAAUUGAAAAUAGCGAAAAAACUAAACCUUGCGAUUUUUGAAUUUUAGGGUUCAUUCGACUUGGCCUGAGCCAAGGAUUCAGAGGAAAAAAGAAUUUCCAUUUUCUGGCUUACGGUUCAAAAGUUAUUAGCAUACAAACAUUGAAAGUUUGGACAAGUGGUGGCGCUAGAGAGUAGGAGUUAGAGGCUUCAAAUUUGCUAUAGUUAAUGUUGGGACUGUCCUCUAUCAGUGUGCCAAAUUAUACAACUUUCCCGCAAACGGUUCUAUGGGCUGCCAUAGACUUGCGGCGGAAGAAGAAGAAGAAUAAUAAAUAUAGCUGCAAGCAGCAAUAACGGGGCCAAGCACUACAGAAGCAAGCUUCAGACGAACGGCAGGAAUGAGUAAUUAAGACAGUUUUAAGAUUAUUUUAGGCAAAAUGGCUUGAAAACAAUCAACACAACAACUAGUAAUAGGAUUUAUUUGCUUAUCACGUGUAACCAAUAGGUGGUGCUGUUACCAAAUUAGUUUGGAACGGUCAGUGUGAGGUGUCGAUGACACAUACAAAGUUUGGUGCAAAUAUGUCAAAGCUUUGCAGAGAUACAGCCUCAAAUGCAUUUUGGCACCAUUCAAGCAGAUUUGUUGAUGUGCUAAAUGAGAACCGUUUCGUAUGUCGACACGAAAUCCAUAACUUUUUGCCAGCAUUUUCUGAAGAUGAGCCACGUCAAAUUUGGUGAAAAUCUGACAAACGGUCUAGGAGGAGUUCGAAAAAGUAGGUUUUCAACAUUAAUCAAAAUGGCGGACAGGAAGUUCAGCCAAAUAAGGAAAACUUUGUAUCUAUGUUCUCGACUUGACCCAAGGAAUCUACAAAGACCAGCGUCAUGUCAAUAGCCAGAUUUAUUCAAAAGUUAUUAGCCUUUACGUAAAUUGAGUUAUAACUUUUGACCACUAGGUGGCGCUGUUUCAAAAUAUUUUGAAUACCUUCAGGGGAUGGUGUUGUUGGCACAUUCUGAGUUUCGUAAUAUUACACCAAUGCAUUUGUUUAGUAUAGCAUUUUAUUUCACAAAACUGUAUUGAAGUCAAUGAGAAUUUCAUGUUUUGUUCUAUUAUAGCGCCACCAAGAGGCUCAGUCCCACCAUUUUUUUUAUGUGUGCUCAGAGUGAGCCCAUACAUAUGUGUGUCAAUUUUGGUGAAAAUAUCUCAAUUCACUUCAGAGUUAUAGACAUUUAUAUGAAAAAGCACGUAAAAAAUGACUGACUCUUGACUUUGAUUGAAUAUUACUACCCCUUAC